This 723-nucleotide ribosomal RNA is filed under the name uncultured Telluria sp. RNAcentral describes it as "bacterial SSU rRNA". It matches the Rfam family "Bacterial small subunit ribosomal RNA", at positions 8 to 726 of the family's 1533-position model. Lineage: Bacteria; Pseudomonadati; Pseudomonadota; Betaproteobacteria; Burkholderiales; Oxalobacteraceae. The record is from RNAcentral.
AGAGUUUGAUCCUGGCUCAGAUUNAACGCUGGCGGCAUGCUUUACACAUGCAAGUCGAACGGUAACAGGGAGCUUGCUCCGGUGACGAGUGGCGGACGGGUGAGUAAUAAUCUGGAACGUACCCAGAAGUGGGGGAUAACGUAGCGAAAGUUACGCUAAUACCGCAUACGAUCUAUGGAUGAAAGUGGGGGAUCGCAAGACCUNACUCUUUUGGAGCGGCCGAUAUCUGAUUAGCUAGUUGGUGAGGUAAAGGCUCACCAAGGCGACGAUCAGUAGCUGGUCUGAGAGGACGACCAGCCACACUGGAACUGAGACACGGUCCAGACUCCUACGGGAGGCAGCAGUGGGGAAUUUUGGACAAUGGGCGCAAGCCUGAUCCAGCAAUGCCGCGUGAGUGAAGAAGGCCUUCGGGUUGUAAAGCUCUUUUGUCAGGGAAGAAACUGGAAUGGCUAAUAUCUGNNUACGAUGACGGUACCUGCAGAAUAAGCACCGGCUAACUUCGUGCCAGCAGCCGCGGUAAUACGUAGGGUGCAAGCGUUAAUCGGAAUUACUGGGCGUAAAGCGUGCGCAGGCGGUUUUGUAAGUCUGUCGUGAAAGCCCCGGGCUUAACCUGGGAAUUGCGAUGGAGACUGCAAGGCUUGAAUCUGGCAGAGGGGGGUAGAAUUCCACGUGUAGCAGUGAAAUGCGUAGAGAUGUGGAGGAACACCGAUGGCGAAGGCAGCC